AGCGAACGCUGGCGGCAGGCUUAACACAUGCAAGUCGAACGGGCUUCUUCGGAAGUCAGUGGCAGACGGGUGAGUAACACGUGGGAACGUGCCCUUCGAUUCGGAAUAACUCAGGGAAACUUGAGCUAAUAACGGAUACGCCCUUUUGGGGAAAGGUUUACUGCCGAAGGAUCGGCCCGCGUCUGAUUAGCUUGUUGGUGGGGUAACGGCCUACCAAGGCGACGAUCAGUAGCUGGUCUGAGAGGAUGAUCAGCCACACUGGGACUGAGACACGGCCCAGACUCCUACGGGAGGCAGCAGUGGGUAAUAUUGGACAAUGGGCGCAAGCCUGAUCCAGCCAUGCCGCGUGAGUGAUGAAGGCCUUAGGGUUGUAAAGCUCUUUUGUCCGAGACGAUAAUGACGGUACCGGAAGAAUAAGCCCCGGCUAACUUCGUG
RNAcentral lists this ribosomal RNA (435 nucleotides) under uncultured bacterium. RNAcentral's name for it is "partial 16S ribosomal RNA". It matches the Rfam family "Bacterial small subunit ribosomal RNA", at positions 29 to 507 of the family's 1533-position model. The record is from RNAcentral.